UCAAUUUUGAAAUGCUAUUUUUAUUAAAUACUCUUUCAUUUUCCAAUAAUAACAAAGCUAUGAAGAACAACCAUCCAAACAAACACUUGAUAGUUUUUAAUGUAUGCUUUUUAUUAAUGGUCAUGCAAAAAUCCAGCAUCCAAUUGAAACUGAUAGUAUAGACAUAUGUGGCCCCUUUUCUUGUAAGGUUACAAUGCAAUAAAUUUACUUUCAAAGGGGCACAUACAAGCUAAGGCUUUUGCUCAUCUUUUAUGCAUUUUAAUGCGAGAUAACAUCGCUGGAUUUGGAUAUCUCAGACAGCCAUUUCAUAACCUUGAGGAUGCAAAUAACAUAGAUUUCCAUUUCUUUAUCAAGUAAACAGUGAAAAAUUACCAGAAAGUAGACAUGCAUAUUUCUUCCAUUUGUAAAACUGCAUAUAUAAUGUUGCUGUUAAAGAUUGUGGUUUUUAAAUUGUCAUUUUUCAACAUCUGAAGCGUUUCAAGAAUCUUUUCGGCCCCUCAGUUUCUGUUAACGCAUAUUAGACAUUUGCCAAAGUGUUUGAACUGUGGAUUUGGUUUUAGUUUUGCACACAUUUGCAUUUUUAAAACAAAAAUGUAGAUGCAGCAAAACAACAGACAACAAUCUACUUUACCUCCUGUGAUUUCUCUUUGUCUUUAGGUAGUUCCUGCAGUCAUCCCAAAGGUAAGUAAAUAUUUGGUCACAUUUCUUAUUGACAACAUACCCUGUCACGUUAAAACACUGUUAAAUUACACUGGAUCUCAAUAUCAUUUUAAUUUCAUCAGCAAAUGAGCACUAAACUGUGAUGUACUUUCUAUUAAUGCUGAUUUGAUUUUACAGCACUGAAAUGUUUCACAAUUAAAACCAUUUGAUUUGAGUUUAUCUGGUUUGAAUUCAACUCUUUAAAACAUUACUUCCUCUAACAAAGUUGCAGGGAUAAUUUCAAAUCAGUAUUGGAAUUAGAAUUAUCAGGUGACCAAAACAUGGAAGCAAAUAAAUGAUAAUGGUGCUCUAUAACUGCUAGAUAUAUAAUUCAGCAACUGUUUACAAAGUCAGUACAUCUAGUGGUCAAAAAAAUCUGUUACUGCAUUUGCAAGUGUCCAGUUUUACUAUGAUUAAAUUGGUCAUUUUAAGAUGUAAAAAAAUCAUGUUGCUGAAUUGGACUGAUGAGAAAUUUAAACAUCAAUACACAAGAUGAAAAUUCAUCUUUCAAGAGAGGCUUCACCUAAAGAAAAGAUAUUUGUAUUGUAUAAGGUGUAUUCACCUUCAGGAAGUUUCAAAGAAGGAAAUUUCAACCAGUUAAACGGACCCAGAUGAUUUUGAAAGUAAAAUAAUUCAGUGAUGGCACUGAUUGUCACAGCUGAGUAAUUAUUUGCAGAUAAAACAUAAUUACUAUCUUUCUUUGCCUGAUUGAACUGGGAUUCAGAGCCCAGAUCCUCAGCUAAUAUCCAAAAAAAUGAAAACUAUCUCAUGUCACACGAGGCUGGAUUUGUUGUAGCUCUAUUUAGUAAGACUCAGGAGGCCCUGGUGAUGGUUUAACAAACAGUGGUUCCCAACCUGGAGUACAAGAAAUAUAUACAUUUAAGGUGUCAUGUGGAGUUCAGUAUUUCUAAAAAACAAUAAUCCAACAUAUUCUAAACGUCAAUAAACAUGUUGAAUGAAUGCAUUUCCUUCAGCAAAACAUUUUCAAAGCCAGAUUUCUUACAAGUUUUAAUUCCAUCCAUAUUUACUGACUGGCAGCCAUCUUCUUCACCGCCUCUGUUGGUGCUUUGCUACAUAUCUAGGCUUGUUUUUACCACCUGUAGAUCGGUGGAACAACCUGAAACCAUCAGCAGGAAUGUAUCGUGUUACACGCAUGUACAGGAACUCCACAGGGUGCCUUUAACGAGAUAUAAUAUAAAUUCUUUACGUAUUUAAGCCUGUAAAUAUGAUCCAAAUCAAAGAGAAAAUUACUUCUAAAUGUAUAUUACUGAAAGAUAGGCCUGUACAUCACCUGUAUGAUGAAAUGUGUCACAAGACAAAGGUUGAGAAUCACUGUUUUACAAAUAACUAAAAGUGAGAGUGGGUUCACUUCAGCUUGAACAGAUUUUUGUAAUAACAUGAAAAACAGAGGUGUAAUUAAAAACAUUAUAACAGAAAGCUGCACCAUUAUUAAUGUUACUGUUUACAUCUCUGUUUUCCUGCUACUACAGAUCAACACGUUGAAGUUUUGGCUUCAUUUUAAUUAAAAACGCUAAUAUCAACUGUCCAAAAACUUUGGCAAACCUGUUUCCCCCCAAAUCAGUCCCCCUGCUUUUUAGAUAACCUGUGAAGUUCAACUGCGUCUUACUUUUCCAUUUCGACAUUCCCAUGACUGUGUGGAAACACACACAAUGAAAGAAAAGCAUCUGGUCAGAACGGUGGCAUCAACGGACAACUGGGCCGGCACCCACAGCACGAACACAACUACUUAGAACCAUAAAAAACAUCACAUAGUUUCAGUACUGCUUUUACAACGUGUCGUCAUGGUGCAAGAAGUGGGGGAGGGACACAGUUUUCAUGUCAUGUCGGAUAUGUCACAGCACAGGCGGUUGAUACAGGAGGACGGGGUCACGUAUGAUUUACAACGUUGGUUUUUUAAGUUUGCUUCAAGGUGUUGGUACACAGACGUGAUAUGUGAUGUUCUGAAGCAUCUUUGUGGUUUCUGCUCGUAGAGAACCAGCAGCAACAGCCUACGUAGUGCAUGAGUUACUAUGGAGCAGCGUAGCACAGAGACGGGACGGACAGCAAGCCUCACCUCUCCACAGGUACAAAGUCACACACUCACAAAGUUUCUACAACAGUGAAAAACAGUGCUGCAAAGUGGAACCACUGACACACAAGAUAUGUUUUGUCCUCUUUUAAAGGGAGAAUCUUUGACCUCGUGUGCUUAUAUGAUGCUGUGACUUGCAAUAGAAUUAGCAAAAAAAGGAGUUUUUGUCUCAAGAUUGUGUAUCCAUCAGUGAGUGAGGGGCGUCUUAAAAAAGGGUUGUGGCAGUCUCUGCUCAUUUCAACCCCCUUAAUAUAUUUUUUAAAGUUCUGGCUAAAACAACUGAUAAAAAUAUCAACAUCAAAACACUAACAACUACAACAUUUACAACAGAAACUGACAAAAGAGACCAAAUCAUUGAUUGCCAUCAGCAAAGGUCCCACAGCCCUCCAGACGGCGUAGCCCUCUUCCCGUCAUGCCUUUUUUUUUGUGUCCAAUCCCUCGGCUGGAUUUCCUUUUUAACAUGCUUUUUAUAGUGCCAGGACUUCACACCGAAGUACAGCAAGCCAAGACGGACAAUAUACAAACUUUUAAGAACACAGUCAGAACAAGAGACAGGUGUUAAGGGUGACAUCGUCAUCAUCACACGGCGUGGCGCUAGUACGACAGUAAUGGGGCUGGUCAGCGAAGGUCACGACACAUGUGGAGAGGCAGGAAUGAUGGAAGUAGAGGGGCAGAGGUAGGGUGGAAGGGAAGGAUUUUGGCAAGCGUAACCUGAAGUUGCAGAAAGGUUCACUCCCUCGGAAGAGCAAACACAACAGCAUCGAGUCAUAAGUGUCUGUGCAAAAACAGUACAGGCCAUUAGAUAGUUCAGAUAAAUCAUGCUUCACGUCAAAAACACACAAAAACAAGAGAAAAGAAAAGUAAGAAGUUGGCGUGAGAGUGUCCGUGCUUUCAGACUAGGUCGUCAAACGUGAGGAGCUCUAGACUUUUAACUGACGACGCCACCUAGUGUUCAAACACUGCAGGGCAGACAGAUGGAGACCUUCUGCAACUUCAGGAUGAGCUGGCCUGGACGUUGUGUCUGAAGCUCAGGAGAGGCUCGACCUCAAAGGCUGGAGCACAGGGGCUUCCAGUGUGUGUUCAUGCAGGCUGUGUGUGAACAUGUUGUUUAUAUUUACACGUCUGGACAUCAAAACAGGAAGAAAAACACCCACUCUCUCAUGCCAAAAUCCCCUCCCUAAACCCUGAAAGCAAAGAAUGUUUCCCCUGUUCUCCUAUAUAAAUAUCUGUUUAUACACAAUUCUGUUAAAUAAAAUCCCCUUUUGAUUAAAAAUUACUUCUCAACACAAAAUACUUUAAAAUAUUAUCCCUCCAUCAGGAGAUAAAACAAAACAUAAUACAAAAAGACAAAAUAAAAAUAAAGGUCCCUUCAGUAACACAUCACAAACGCCUAAACCCCUUUAAAACAUCGUGUCAGAUCAAAUCUAACACUUAAAAUGGUUGUUAAAUUCUGAUAUUAAGUAGAUAUUAGUUGCUCCCGUUCCCGUAAAACCUACCCACAUAAACCUGUAAAGUGUAAAACAAACAACACUUGUAAUAAAGUCAACUUUCUGCUGCUCUGUCGAGACAAAAAGAAAUCACAUUUCUCCAGAUACACUUGCUGCCCCAGUCAUACGCACUAAGUGUGUGAAGUGUUUUUCAGUUGUUAUAUAUAUUUUUUAACACGUUAAUACUUUUCCACACGGCAGACAAAACAAAGACGGGGAAUAAAGGCCAUGGGAGGAAAGGACCAGGACAGCAUCACCCCUGUGUUGCCAGCAGAAGCAUGCACCAUCUCCAAGAAGGGGUUGACAUCAGCCGGACCCCAACAUCAUCUAGCUAGGGUUGGACUGGAUUGGUGUUGGUCGGUGUGGUCAGUCAUUCAGUCAAGCUUUUGAAAUAGGAUUUUUUAUUUUUUUUGGGGGUUGUGUUUGUUUUUUAUUUUAAUUCUUUUUUUUUUUUUUUAAUUGUAAUGUAUUUUUCCAACUUUUGUGUUUUCCAAGCAGCCUCUUCCCAGCCAGGAUCCCGGCACCACUCCGACCACGGAGAGUAAAUGCUCCAAAAAGCUUCAGAGUUCAGGCAAAGCUGGAGAAGGGAAAACACAACGGUUAGUGAGAAAGUUGUCUAUCCCAAUCACAAACAGCAGCGAUGCAGGUAGUUUAUAUGUUAAGGUCUUUAUCUGUCUAAAAUUUCCGCCCCAAGCUCAAUACAAAUUUAAUUCAGAACCGUCCUGCAAAGCUUCAGGCAGAGCUGUUGUAAAUCUUUGCACAAAAACAUAACAAAUGGAGAACUGUCAGUAGGUGUAAUAGAGGAUUUGUGAUGUACAGGCAAUGGUUACAAAUGAAGUAGAUGCUAAAGUGGGUGCAGAAAAUUCAGAGGCAGACAUCUCAAAACCUCAGCAACUAAAAUCUGAAGUCCAGACAUG
Long non-coding RNA from Amphiprion ocellaris (clown anemonefish), 5192 nucleotides. The record is from Ensembl. Lineage: Eukaryota; Metazoa; Chordata; Actinopteri; Pomacentridae.